Molecule: ribosomal RNA, 806 nt
Filed under: uncultured bacterium
Lineage: Bacteria
Description: bacterial SSU rRNA
Rfam family: Bacterial small subunit ribosomal RNA
Source: RNAcentral
AGAGUUUGAUCCUGGCUCAGGAUGAACGCUGGCGGCGUGCUUAACACAUGCAAGUCGAACGAAGCACUUUACCGGAUUUCUUCGGAAUGAAAGUUUUGUGACUGAGUGGCGGACGGGUGAGUAACGCGUGGGUAACCUGCCUCAUACAGGGGGAUAACAGUUAGAAAUGACUGCUAAUACCGCAUAAGACCACAGGACCGCAUGGUCCAGUGGUAAAAACUCCGGUGGUAUGAGAUGGACCCGCGUCUGAUUAGCUAGUUGGUAAGGUAACGGCUUACCAAGGCGACGAUCAGUAGCCGACCUGAGAGGGUGACCGGCCACAUUGGGACUGAGACACGGCCCAAACUCCUACGGGAGGCAGCAGUGGGGAAUAUUGCACAAUGGGGGAAACCCUGAUGCAGCGACGCCGCGUGAGCGAUGAAGUAUUUCGGUAUGUAAAGCUCUAUCAGCAGGGAAGAAUUAGGACGGUACCUGACUAAGAAGCACCGGCUAAAUACGUGCCAGCAGCCGCGGUAAUACGUAGGGGGCAAGCGUUAUCCGGAUUUACUGGGUGUAAAGGGAGCGUAGACGGCGCAGCAAGUCUGAUGUGAAAGGCAGGGGCUUAACCCCUGGACUGCAUUGGAAACUGCUGUGCUUGAGUGCCGGAGGGGUAAGCGGAAUUCCUAGUGUAGCGGUGAAAUGCGUAGAUAUUAGGAGGAACACCAGUGGCGAAGGCGGCUUACUGGACGGUAACUGACGUUGAGGCUCGAAAGCGUGGGGAGCAAACAGGAUUAGAUACCCUGGUAGUCCACGCCGUAAACGAUGAA